UGCCAGCGACCAAAAAAUUAUUAACUUCGCGGAACCCGAUGAGAGCAGACGUGUCUGUGUCAACCGUGUCGUCGUCGUAGUGGUCGCGCUGAAAAUACCGCAUAAAGCAUUCUAUCGAAAAGUGCGUGCGUGUUUGAUUAGUGGCGUGUGUGUAUCGAGCGAAGGAAAAGUGAAAAUUAAUCUAAAAAAAACGCGAUUGCGUCUUUUCUCCAUCUUCCUCUGUCCCUCUUGCUGGUAUCUUUCAUCCCGUUCGCACCCCGUUCUGUGAAAGGUGCAAUUUUCCUCCCAAAGCCUACUGUGAGUGAAUGUGUGUAUGUGCGUGUAUGCAGUGUGUGAUUCACGGGGAAAAAUAAAACGCACAAAAGGGCACACACAAUCGGAAAACCACGCCGGGGCGUUCAUAGGAAGGAAACUUACUGUUCCCCGUGUGUGUGUCCCCCUGUGUUGUGCACGACCCUGAUUAUUAUGCACUGUUUUUAGGGGUGAGAAAGUGUAUGUGUAUGUGUUUGUGUGAACAAGGCACAAUAGCGGAAAGCCGUUAACGGAGCGAAGAAAAAAAAAAGAACAACACAACAAGGCCCGUCUGCGGAUCUGUUGCCGCUGCUGACAUCAUCGUGUCAUCGUCAUCCAACUAAUCGUCAUCAUCAAAUAAUUUUGAACUGUUCGGUUUCGCCGUGUCGCGUGUCGCACUUUCGCUAACAGCUAAAGCGUAGCGUUCCGUUUGGUCCGGAAGUUGGUGUCCCAGUACACGCGCACGCUCGGCGCUGUGGCCGAGUGACCUAUUCGUAACUCUCUGUGUAGUGUUAACCACAACACACACACACCCUAUCAGCUAACGUAGCGGGAAAACCCCCCAGUAGCAGUAGAACCUAAUUAGAGUAUCUGCAGUAACAAUGCCGGGCGAGUCAACGAAAGCGGCGGAACCGGCCGCCGCCACCAGUCCCAGCACACCGAAAAAGAAGCCCACCAACUCAAAGGCGGCCCUCGCAAAGGUUACACUGCUCGAUGGUUCGAUACUGGAGGUGACCAUUGAUCGAAAAUGCCGCGGCCGGGACCUGCUGAACUCGGUCUGUGCCGGGCUGAACAUACUGGAGAAGGAUUACUUCGGGCUGACGUACCACACAGCGAACGAUCCGCGCACCUGGCUCGAUCUCGAGCGUCCGGUGACGAAGUUUUUCCGCUCCGAUCCGUGGGACCUUUCGUUCGAGGUGAAGUUCUACCCGCCGGAGCCGGCCCAGCUGCAGGAGGACAUCACGCGCUACCAUCUGUGUCUGCAGGUGCGCAACGACAUCCUGGAGGGCCGGCUGCCCUGCUCGUUCGUAACACACGCCCUGCUCGGCUCGUACCUGGUGCAGUCCGAGCUGGGCGACUACGAUCCGGCCGAGAUGAAGGAUCGGUCCUAUCUGAAGGACUUCAAGAUCGCCCCGAACCAGACGCCCGAACUGCUGGACAAGGUGAUCGAUCUUCACAAGACCCACAAGAGUCAGACGCCAGCGGAAGCUGAGCUACACUAUCUUGAGAAUGCGAAAAAGCUCGCCAUGUACGGUGUCGAUCUGCACCCGGCGAAGGAUUCCGAAGGUGUCGACAUCAUGCUCGGCGUCUGUGCCUCCGGUUUGCUCGUGUACAGAGACAAACUUCGUAUCAAUCGGUUCGCCUGGCCGAAGAUCCUGAAGAUCUCGUACAAGCGCAACAACUUCUACAUCAAAAUCCGUCCGGGCGAGUUCGAGCAGUACGAGUCGACGAUCGGCUUCAAGCUAGAGAACCACCGGGCGGCGAAAAAGCUGUGGAAGGCGUGCGUGGAGCACCACACCUUCUUCCGGCUGAUGACGCCGGAACCGCAGCAAAAGUCGGGGCUGUUCCCGCGCCUUGGCUCGAAGUACCGAUACUCGGGCCGCACGCACUACGAAACGCGCAAAACGCCCGUCGAGCGUCCGGCGCCCGAUUUCAAGCGCAGCUUGACCGGAAAGCGGCUCUCCAGCCGCAGCAUGGAUGCACUCGCACAGCAGGAAAAGGAACGUGCGGCUGCCAAGGAUGCGGGAAAGGACGCAAACAAACGCCACACGAUGUCGCAUCCGCCGGAUCACAUCCCGGAUCUGGACUCGCCGACGCGCGGUUCCCGCAGCCCGAUCAAGAAGGACAAAAAGGAGCGCCUGAAGCGUGAGUCCAGCACUGGCACCGCGUCCGCCUCGUCGCAGAGCUCCCUCGAGGGAGAGUACGAAACCACAUCGCCAAACGUUGUUCCAGCACAGAAACCGGCUGGAGGAGUUGCCGUACUGCCAGUUGCCGGCAAGAAGGACAAACCCGAACAAGUUUCCCAGAAAGAUGAAGGUCUGAAUGGAAACAAUGGACAAGCCGAGGCACUGAACUCCUCUGCGGAAGAGGCAACAUCUCCCUCCGGCAAACGUAAGGGUUUCCUGUUUUCCUCCGGCCGCAAGUCGCCGAAGGACAAGAAAGACGCCGGAAAGGAGCAGCCGGCUAAGCUGAUGGCCGCCGCGAACGGUGACGGUGGCAGUGCGGGCAAAAAGGACCCGGCCAAGGAAGCGGUUCAGGCGCGGGCCCAAGAUACCGCUACGAACAAGACACCGCAAACGACGCCGGAGAAGCCCGGCUUUACCAAACCGUACGAGUACUCGGAAAGCGAACAGGACCCGGCGACGGCGCACAAAAAGAACGUAAAGACGCGCGGCUUCCGGUACGACGAGGCACCGUUGCGCCCGAACGAGGAAAGCGAAGCGCAGCUCAGCCCGAACUCGCAAAGCCGCCGCGCGACCGGGCUGGCGUUCAACUACGCGCCGGGUGAGGAUCAGAAGGUGCGCGAGUCGGUGGAGAAGCGUAAAGCGCCGGGAUCGCCGGUAGCUGCCACUGCCACCGCUGCCGGUGUCAAGACCGAUCAGCUCUCGCCCAAAUCGGCUGCACGUGGACUGCCCGGGGAGAGUGAGGCUGAGAAGGGUGUACGCACCAGCGCUCGAUCGUACUCGCCCAACAAGGGUAGACAGGCGGUUGAUCCACUCGCUUCUGGGGCCGGCACGUUCCGUCCGUUAGACGACACUAGCAGUGCGUUUAUUCAGGGCGAGCAGGCUGGUGCUGCUGCUGCGGCAGCCGCUGCAGCCGCCGCCGCCGCUGCCGAACCGGCCAAGAAGAAGGUGAAGAUUAUGGUGAUCAUUUCCAAGUUUGAUCCCAAAACGAAGAAGGUCGAUACGGCGCAGGGUGUGGUGGAGCAUUCGACCGGCGUGCUGGACACGAAGACGGGCCAAAUUGAGAGCAAGUACGGGCUGAUCGAUCCGAAGGCCGGCACGGUGGUGAACUUCAACGCUCGCACCGGCCAGAACGAAACGUUCCAGGGCCAGACGGACCCGAAGACGGGCCAGCUGCACAUCGUGGGCGGCGUGGUCGACUCGGCUAGCGGCAAGGUAGAUGAUACGCUCGGCCAGGCCAUUAUGGUGGUGCCGGACGAGGAUUCGGUGGUCGAGAUCACGACCAUCACCUCCAAGGUGGAUCCCAACACGGGCAAAAUCGACACAAUCAAUGGAGAAAUUGAGAAGAGUCGCGGUAUUCUGAACCACCGUACCGGCAUUCUGAGCACCAAGUACGGUGACAUUAACCCGCGCACGGGAGAGCUGCGAGCGAUCGAUCCGAAGACGGGCAAACCAUCGCCUGCGGCUGCUGCCGUGCGUCCGGUGACGGUCGAUCGUAGCAAUGGACAGAUUAUGGUGGUUGGCGUGACCGACCCGAAGACGAACAAGCUGGACAACAGCCAGGCGCAUCUGAUCGCGAUCGGCAACCAGGUGGAUCCGGUGGUGGAGGUAACGUCCGUGCUCGGCAAGCUUGACAAGAAGGGUCUGGUCGAUCCGAAAACGAUCACGUACGACAAGAGCACGGGUCAGCUGGACACGAAGGACGGCAAAAUCAACACCAAGUACGGUCAGCUGGAUCUGGUGAAGCAAACGGUCACGUUUGUCGACCCGAAGACGGGCAAGACGGAAACGAAGGAGAUCAAGGUGGAUCCGGUCAGUGGGCAGGUGUUGCUGAAGAAUCAGGUCAACCCGAAGACGGGCAAAACGGACAAAGACUACGGGCGUAUCGUGUCGAUUCGCAUCGUGCACAACCGUAUCGAUCCGGUGACGGGUAAGCACGUGCCGGCUGCCCCGGUCGAGGACAAAGACAUCCGUGUGGAUGCCAAAACGAACCAGGUCUGGCUGCCGGAUGGUGGUAAGGAUCCAAAGACGGGCGAAACGAUUUACACUUCGAGCCAGGUCGAUCCGAAGACCGGUUUUGUCAUCACGAUCUACGGCUAUCUUAACCCGAAGACGAACGAAAUCGAACGACAGGCCAAGAUGGACCCGAACAUGACGAAGGUGGACCCCACGACGGGUCAGAUCUAUGCCGCCACCGGCCAGGUCGAUGAGGCCACCGGUGAGCCACUGUUCGCCGCGACCCAAAUCAACGAAGAGGACGGCGAAAUCUACACCAAGGUGGGCCGUAUCGAUCCGAAAUCGGGCCGACUAGUCAUCAUCAAGAUCUUCAUCAUCACGAAGAAGGACGAGCGGGGCAAACCGGAGGAGCUGGACGUGAGCGCGGUCGAUCUGGAUCCGGAGACGGGUCACAUUCGCAACGUUGCACCGAAGACGCUGUAUCUGUACAAGAUGCGCGAUCCGAUCACGGGCGAGACGUACAACGUGGAUCCGAACGAUCCGCGCAUUGCCGGCGCACGAACGACGGUCACGCAAACGAUGACGCUGAGCGGUGAGAUUGACCCGGCUACCGGGCGCAUCAAGUCCGAGUGGGGCCACAUCGAUCCGAACACGGGCGACAUUGAUCCAGCGACGGCCAUCCGCGAUCCGGUCACCGGUAAGCUGAUCCUGAACUAUGCCGACAUUGAACCGAGCCACUUUGGCAAGAAUGUAACGGUGACGAAGGAAACGGUACCGAUUACGCGCGAGCAGUUCUACGAAGGCAUCAAGCACAUGGACAGGAAGGCCACGCGCCGGGACUCAGAAAGCUCGGACGACGAUAUGACCGCCCAGUACGGCAAGGAAAGCAUCAAGGAGAUCAGCUCGGGUACAGCGGCGGCGGGCAGCAAGUUGAAUGCUGCUGCUGCUGCGGCUGCUGCCGGCACGCCAACCGUAGUGAAGACGACAACCAAGCAGGUGAUCACGAAGAACGAGGAUGGCGUUACGCAUAACGUGGAGGAGGAGGUGCAGAAUCUGGGCACCGGACAGAUCGUGUACUCCACCCAGGAGCACAAGGCGGAUGCCCCGACCGGUACGGAUGCAGGUAAAUUUGUGACGGCCACCGCUGUCACGACGCGUACCGCCACCACCCACGAGGAUCUGGGCACGAACGCAAAAACGCAACAGCUCGAAGAGAAAACGGUGGCCACCACCACCACCCAGCACGGUGAGCGGCAGGAGCAGCGUGUCAUUACGCAGGAAGUCAAAACCACGGCCACGGUGACGAGUGGCGAUCAGUACGCACGCCGUGACAGUGUCUCAUCGUCGAGUUCCGGCGACUCCGGAACACCGAUCGAUGGCCCCUACGGAGACGAAUCGCUGUCGGAAGUGAUCUACAACAAGUCCUACACGGGAGCGGAUAACGUUGUCGGUGCCUCACAAAUCCCGGAAGGACCGAACGUGGAGCAUCGGCGCGUGGUGCUAGAUGAUCUUGCCGAAGGUGGCACCACUACCCACGGUGAAAUCGUAUCGUCCCAGACGGUAUCCAGCAAAACGCGAACCGUUGAAACAAUCACCUACAAAACGGAACGGGACGGUGUGGUGGAGACACGCGUCGAGCAAAAGAUCACCAUCCAGUCUGAUGGCGACCCGAUCGAUCAUGACAAAGCCCUUGCUGAAGCAAUCCAGGUUGCUUCACUUAAAAUCAAUAUCAACCCUUUCGAUCGCCGGGAAGCAGCCCGCAGAUAUCUGCUGCACACGAGCCAAUCGCCCCUGGCCGCGUUGCGCUCGACGAAGCCACAACUUCCCGGCCCAAGCUCCCCGCAAGGUCGCCCGGAAGGGGGAAAAUGAAGCAAGACGGUGUGGAAAAAAGAAACAGGGCUAAAGGGGUCGGGUUGUCAGCUACCCUUACGAACGAACUGAACACCACUGCAAGGCAGCAUUUUGAGAGUAGCAUUGAGGAAGCAACCGCCAUGAAUCCAGAUAUGACAGUGGAGAAGAUUGAAAUUCAACAGCAAACGCAAUAAGCAGCAGCAGCAGCGGAUCAUCACAAUCACGUCUCUCAACGCCCCCUUUAUAUCUUUAUGCUGACAAACACACACAUGAGCGCGGGAGUGUUCUCCGCAACCCUCCCACGUGUGUGCAUCCCAUAUGUGCAUCACUGUAGCUCUUAGGCAAAACCGAUUCGAUUCGAGUGAAAACGAACGAAAGUCGACAAAUCGCGAUCACACUCGCGACAAUUUCAAACAGAUGUGUUAACACAGAUAUAUGGUAUGUGUGUGCCAUUAGCUCUCGAAAAGCGGCCACGCGAGCUGAAGAAAGCGUGAAAAGUGUGUUUGUGUGUGUUUGCCUCCUACACGUUCUGGAGUGAUUGCUUAAUCGUGUGUUGCCGCAAAGCUUGUUGCAAAUCAGUGUGCUCUUGGAGGUUAACACUGCUGCGAGAUGCAGUUUGAAGAUAACAUGAAAUAAAUAAGAAAACAUAAAGUGCAAAUCCCCCCUAUAAAGAGAGAGAGAGAAAAAGCAUCCUCCUCUUUUGUCAUUGCCGACCUUCGAGGAUCGCGAUGAGAAAGAGGGAGGAAACGUGGCAUACACACAGAGGUCGACGACAGGUGUGACGCCGAAGUAUAAGAAACGAAAACUAUUCAUAUAUUUAUUUAUUGCUUAAAGUGCGAUGCAACAUGUGCGCAUGCAAAGAAAGGGAGAAGCAGCCGGUGGAUUCGCUGAAUAUUUAGAGUUUAAAAAAAAUAUAUGGCAAGUCGAGAAGAAAGGAACACGACGACGAAGAGCGCAAGCAAGCAAACAAUCAAAUUCUCGCUUUAAAACAAAAUCACCAAUGCUGCUUUUUGGAAGAGCAAAAGAAAGGAAAAGAUAUGGAAAACCCUUAUAUACACACACAUUGCAUACACCAGGCAUCACCCCCAGGCACCCAAGAUACAUAUAUUGAUUAGAUGGAAGAUGGAUCUUUGAUGUUAAGAUGUGUAUUACAAUUUUUUCAGGGCAUACAAAGUAUAUGAGAUAAUUUGCAUUUUUGAGAGGGGAGCAAUUUUCGGGGCAGAGCGAAAUAGAAAGCGAUAAAGUACUAAACCCCCUCUCCGCCAAAACGGGCGAUUAUUUACAGUUGUUGACCGAGCAUGUCUUCGAUACAAGUAAAACAAACAAAAGUAACAAAGUAAGUGGAACAACCAGUAAGUGUGUGCAGAAGCAUUAGCAAUGCAGCAAGCGAAUAUUAAGCUCGCCAAAAGAAUACAACCGCUUUAGUUGUGGAGGGCGUCGCACGACGUAACGUAUUUUACUGUGGGAAGCACUAUUUGUACUAUUGAAUUUAAAUGUAAGAAAGCUAUCAUCGAUGUGCGCGUGUGCACAUCACGGACGAGAGAGGCGUGUUGUGCUUUGUUUUGUGUGUCGCGCUUAUACUUUUGUUGUUAGAACACCAACUAAACCGUCUCUCCCUUUUUCAUUGCCCUGUUUGCAGAUAAAAGCUAAAACACAAUUUUUGGAGAAAUUUUAAAUCCCACCCUCCCAAGCAGAGCCUCUCUUAGGACCCCGUCAAAAACAAAGAGAGACCCCCGCGUGUGUUAGAAGGAAAGAGGAACAAAAAUAUGUCAAACCAAAAUACCAUCAGUGUUCAGUGGAGUGUAAAACAAUGAGAGAAAGAUGGUGUGCAAUAGCAACAGUGAAAAGCCGCCAGCGCGCUCGUUCCGCAUGUGCUUUCCGCACCAAAACAAGCGAAAACAAUAUUUCAAUUGUACAAAAAAUAGCAAAACUUUGGAAAACAUUUGGCGACAAACCGUAAAAAACAAAUAGAAAACAAAAUCGACAACAACCCAUAGUGUUGUGUGGGUAUGAAGGUAGAAACACAUACACAACAAAAGAAAAGGUUGCCUUAUUUUAGUUACUCUCUUUAGGCAAAAACGACUCUAGCAGAACAAGCGAAUCAUGACCCAACUGCAGUAUCUAUAUCCCCCCUCAAACACACACACGCAUACAUAUAUACACUCUAAAACAUCUCGUUAUCACUACCUGGGGAGAAGGAUCAUGCUAACAAAGCUUUCAUGUAUGUUCUUCGUUGCUUCCCGUUCCUUGUUUUGUGCUCCAAUUCGUACUCGUAUUGAAUUGGUUAUACCACUUGCUUUAUUCUACUUUAGCUACUAUUAUUUUUUGUGUUUUGUAAAGAUUUUAGUUAAUUUUUUGGUUGCAUGAACAUUCCAUACUUUCUUGGAAAAAAAACUAUAAGCUUCUCCUCCUAAACUUCUGUGUAUCAUUACCUGAUUUAUUGUUUUGUUUUGAUUUUUUCCCCUAAUUUAUUUCACUACUCUUAUCUUUAGUUGAUCCCCAGCCCUUCUCUAUGUGGGAUCUGAUCGGUAGCCGAUCGAUUACCUUUUUUUUCUCUCUCGUUUUAGCCAAGCUAAGCUAAGGAAUGUUUAUGUGUUUCUUUUACGUUUAAUACGAUCGCCGUUCAGCAAUAAUCCCUUUUAUAGAAAGAGUUAACAUAAUUGCAAAUUGUGCAUAUAUACAUAUACAUGUGAGAAGAAAAGAAAGAGAAAAAAUCAUCCGCAACCGUAACCUCAUACACCAGAAGGCACCAGAAGGGCAAUCAGAGGUUUCAGUAGGGGACGAAUAAAGAUAUAUGAAACUACAAGGGGGGUGGGGGAGAGGAGUAACCACCCUUGCCCCCCUCCCCCCUCAGUACAUACACAUAUGAUUGCUGUUUGUUUUAGUUUUUAUUUUUAAUUUAAUUUUGUCUUACGAAAUGCGAAAGUUUCGUGUUCUUUUUUUAUCUUAUCGAAAUAUACUUUAAAAAUUGUUAAGUAUGAUUAA
Molecule: RNA transcript, 8987 nt
Organism: Anopheles coluzzii
Lineage: Eukaryota; Metazoa; Arthropoda; Insecta; Diptera; Culicidae
Gene: cora
Gene name: protein 4.1 homolog
Exons: 17
Source: RefSeq, a predicted model, not a curated record